RNAcentral lists this unclassified non-coding RNA (333 nucleotides) under soil metagenome. RNAcentral's name for it is "partial contains 5.8S ribosomal RNA, internal transcribed spacer 2, and large subunit ribosomal RNA". The stretch from base 1 to 119 matches the Rfam family "5.8S ribosomal RNA", at positions 35 to 154 of the family's 154-position model. The record is from RNAcentral.
GAUGAAGAACGCAGCGAAAUGCGAUACGUAAUGUGAAUUGCAAAUUCAGUGAAUCAUCGAAUCUUUGAACGCACAUUGCGCCUGCCAGCACUCUGGCAGGCAUGCCUGUUCGAGCGUCAUUUCAACCAUCAAGCCCUAGGCUUGCGUUGGAGCCCUGCGGCUGCCGCAGGCCCCUAAAAGCAGUGGCGGGCUCGCUAUCACACCGAGUGCAGUAGAUUACUCUUCGCUCAGGGCGUGUGGCGGGUUCCAGCCGUGAAACCCCCUACUUCUCAAGGUUGACCUCGGAUCAGGUAGGAAUACCCGCUGAACUUAAGCAUAUCAAUAAGCGGAGGA